AAAUUUGGAGACGCACCCUAAAAGGUGCCGGGGCUUCUCCCGUUUUAAGAGAGACGGGAGAAGG
Molecule: transfer RNA, 64 nt
Filed under: Cyrtodactylus intermedius
Lineage: Eukaryota; Metazoa; Chordata; Lepidosauria; Squamata; Gekkonidae
Description: tRNA-Cys
Source: RNAcentral